This 305-nucleotide ribosomal RNA is filed under the name uncultured bacterium. Its description in RNAcentral is "bacterial SSU rRNA". It matches the Rfam family "Bacterial small subunit ribosomal RNA", at positions 333 to 652 of the family's 1533-position model. The record is from RNAcentral.
CAAUUCCUACGGGAGGCAGCAGUGGGGAAUAUUGGACAAUGGGGGGAACCCUGAUCCAGCGACGCCGCGUGAGUGAAGAAGUAUUUCGGUAUGUAAAGCUCUAUCAGCAGGGAAGAAAGAAAUGACGGUACCUGACUAAGAAGCCCCGGCUAACUACGUGCCAGCAGCCGCGGUAAUACGUAGGGGGCAAGCGUUAUCCGGAUUUACUGGGUGUAAAGGGAGCGUAGACGGCAAUGCAAGUCUGGAGUGAAAGGCGGGGGCCCAACCCCCGGACUGCUCUGGAAACUGUAUAGCUGGAGUGCAGG